RNAcentral lists this ribosomal RNA (315 nucleotides) under Agroathelia rolfsii. RNAcentral describes it as "eukaryotic LSU rRNA". The stretch from base 258 to 315 matches the Rfam family "Eukaryotic large subunit ribosomal RNA", at positions 1 to 58 of the family's 3401-position model. Lineage: Eukaryota; Fungi; Basidiomycota; Agaricomycetes; Amylocorticiales; Amylocorticiaceae. The record is from RNAcentral.
GGGGCAUGCCUGUUUGAGAGUCAUUAAAUUCUCAACCUUACAAAUUUUUGUAUUUGUCAAGACUUGGAUGUGAGAGUUGCUGGUUAGAGUAUAUUGUGACUGGCUCUAUUUAAAACUAUUAGUAGGACAUGUAGAAAUGCCUACGGUUGGUGCGAUAAUAAGUGUACGCCUAUACCGGAAGGGGGAUUCUAGCUUGUAUGUACUACUUAUAAAAUCAUGCGCAUAUAUCUAGCAUAUAAGUGCAUAUAUUGACCAUUUGACCUCAAAUCAGGUAGGACUACCCGCUGAAGUUAAGCAUAUCAAUAAGCGGAGGAA